RNAcentral lists this non-coding RNA (379 nucleotides) under Nematostella vectensis (starlet sea anemone). RNAcentral describes it as "Eukaryotic large subunit ribosomal RNA". It matches the Rfam family "Eukaryotic large subunit ribosomal RNA", at positions 2342 to 2726 of the family's 3401-position model. The record is from Rfam by way of RNAcentral. Lineage: Eukaryota; Metazoa; Cnidaria; Anthozoa; Actiniaria; Edwardsiidae.
UCCCUAUCUACUAUCUAGCGAAACCACAGCCAAGGGAACGGGCUUGGCAAAAUCAGCGGGGAAAGAAGACCUGUUGAGCUUGACUCUAGUCUGACUCUGUGAAAAGACAUGAGAGGUGUAGAAUAAGUGGGAGUAGCAAUACGUCGGUGAAAUACCACUACUCUUAUCGUUUUUUUACUUAUUCGAUGAAGCGGAAGCGAACCGCAAGGUUCACGUUCUGGAUUUAAGGUCUCUCUUUUGCAGACCGAUCCGUGUCGAAGACACUGUCAGGUUUGGCACGCGUUUUCUGGGGAAGUAAUAAACAGAUAUACUGUAACGUACGUAAACACAGAUAUUUUGAGGGUCUGUUCAAGUCUACUCUGGCCAAAUCAUUUUGAGU